AUGCUUAAGAUAGACCUUGCUAAAGCUUUUGAUCGACUAGAAUGGAACUUUAUUGUGUCUGCUCUUGCGCGUAAAGGGCUGCAUGGUCAUUUUAUUAAUUUGGUACAUGCAUGCAUCUCUUCUCCUACUUUAUCAGUGCUUAUUAACGGGCAGCCUUCUCAUAAAUUUAGAAGCUUCAGAGGUAUUCGCCAGGUUUGCCCCAUGUCUCCUUAUUUGUUUCUUAUUGCUAUAAAUGAAUUAUCCAUUGCUCUCAAUGAAGCUCUUGUAGCUCAUCAUCUUCAGGGAAUUUCACUUGGUCCAAAUUGUCCUUCUAUUCACUCCUUGUUGUUUGCAGAUGACUUGUUGGUUUGUGGUCAGGCCACUCUGCAGGAGGCUGCUAUGGCUCAUCUUAUCCAUCAUUUUUGCUAUGUCUCAGGUCAAACUCCAAAUUGGGCC
This 435-nucleotide ribosomal RNA is filed under the name Triticum aestivum (bread wheat). Its description in RNAcentral is "partial small subunit ribosomal RNA". Lineage: Eukaryota; Viridiplantae; Streptophyta; Magnoliopsida; Poales; Poaceae. The record is from RNAcentral.